ACGCACGCUGGCGGCGUGCUUAACACAUGCAAGUCGAACGGAAAGGCCCCUUUGGGGGUACUCGAGUGGCGAACGGGUGAGUAACACGUGAGUAACCUGCCCUUGACUUCGGGAUAACUUCAGGAAACUGGGGCUAAUACCGGAUAGGAAUCCUUGCUGCAUGGUGGGGGUUGGAAAGCUUCGGCGGUUUUGGAUGGACUCGCGGCUUAUCAGCUUGUUGGUGGGGUAGUGGCUUACCAAGGCUUUGACGGGUAGCCGGCCUGAGAGGGCGACCGGCCACAUUGGGACUGAGAUACGGCCCAGACUCCUACGGGAGGCAGCAGUGGGGAAUAUUGCACAAUGGGCGGAAGCCUGAUGCAGCAACGCCGCGUGCGGGAUGACGGCCUUCGGGUUGUAAACCGCUUUCAGCAGGGGCGAAGCUUGUGGUGACGGUACCUGCAGAAGAAGCACCGGCUAACUACGU
RNAcentral lists this ribosomal RNA (463 nucleotides) under uncultured bacterium. RNAcentral's name for it is "partial 16S ribosomal RNA". It matches the Rfam family "Bacterial small subunit ribosomal RNA", at positions 29 to 506 of the family's 1533-position model. The record is from RNAcentral.